This 1843-nucleotide long non-coding RNA is filed under the name Olea europaea subsp. europaea. Lineage: Eukaryota; Viridiplantae; Streptophyta; Magnoliopsida; Lamiales; Oleaceae. The record is from RNAcentral.
ACAGGAUCAAUAGGAAGCAGCUCAAGACAAUUUUACACAGCAGAAAAUGACAAUGGAGAUCUUGACCUACCAUUGUUUGAUGUAACAACAAUAUUAGAAGCUACCAAUUACUUUUCACCUGGCAACAAGAUUGGAGAAGGUGGAUUUGGACCAGUGUACAAGGUAAAUUCUAUAUUUUACUCGGUAAUUUAAACUAUAAUUAUAACAUAAUAGUAACCUAAAUUAUUAUUUAUAUCAAAAUUGCUCAGGGUGUACUCAGAAAGGGGAAAGAAAUUGCUGUGAAGAGGCUAUCAAAGUAUUCAAUACAAGGAGAUGACGAGUUCAAAAAUGAAGUAAUUUUAAUUGCAAAGUUACAACAUAGGAAUCUUGUGAAUCUUAUUGGAUGUUGCAUUCAUGAAGAAGAGAAAAUUCUUGUCUAUGAAUUCAUGCCUAACAAUAGCUUGGACAGUUACAUAUUUGGUUAGUUUUUCUCAAGACUAUACCAUAUUUCAUUUCAUUAAGGUCAUCUACAUAAUAUCGUCAUGUCCAGUGCUGUUACCAAAUAUGCUAGUUGAAUCAUUUGCUAAAUGAGAAAUUUUUGCAGAUAAGGAUCGAGGUAGAUUGUUGGAUUGGGAAAAGCGGUUUCAAAUUAUCAAUGGAAUUGCUCGUGGAUUACUUUAUCUUCACCAAGACUCCCGAUUGAGAAUCAUUCAUAGAGAUCUAAAGGCUGGAAACAUUUUGUUGGAUGCUGAUAUGAACCCGAAAAUAUCAGACUUCGGCAUGGCGAGAAGUUUUGGAGGGAAUGAAAUUGAAGCAAACACACGAAGGGUUGUCGGUACAUAGUAAGGAUUCCAACAUAAGUUAUGCAUGCUUGACUUGUUUGAUGAGUUAGGUUGCACACUGGACAAUAUUAUUAAAGAAGAAUAAGUUGAAUCUUGUCUUUAUACUGUUGAGUUCUGGAUACUAAACAUUAUCUAAGCUCUCUUUUCUUUCUUUAAAUGACAAAAUCUCAAUAUAAUUGUUGUUUUGCAGUGGCUAUAUGUCACCCGAAUAUGUGGUUGAUGGUCACUUCUCAGUCAAAUCUGACAUAUUCAGCUUUGGUGUCCUCAUUCUGGAAAUCAUAAGCGGACAAAAGAACAGAGGAUUUUUUCAUCAAGAUCACCAUCACAAUUUGCUUGGACAUGUAAGUUUUUGGUUUCUUACUUUAAUUCUUCCAACAUUCUUAACUCCUCAAAUUCUUACAUCUAACUUUGAUUCUUUCCACUCAUCAAUUAGGCAUGGAUUCUACACAAUGAAGGACGAUCUCUAGAAUUAAUCGACUCACAUUUAGCUCAAUCGUGCUACUUGUCUGAAGUACUUCGAUCAAUGCAUGUCGCUCUAUUAUGUGUACAGAGAAAUCCUGAAGAUCGGCCAAAUAUGUCGAAUGUUGUCCUAAUGUUGGCAAGUGCAGGGGCAUUGCCUAAGCCUAAAGAGCCCGGUUUUUUCACAGAAAGAAAUUCAUUUCUUGGAUUUGAAACUUCAUCAAGUAAGCCUACGGUAAGUUCUGCCAAUGAAUUGAGCUUCACGGAAAUGGAAGGUAGAUAAAAAUAUAUAAAGAAUUAGUGCCAUAAAUGCAUAUAUUACUCAUUUAUAUUAAAAUUUUCAUUCAACGAAAACAUUUUAUCGAUCUAUGUCUUUUAUCAAUUUAUGUCUUUUAUGAAUUUCUAGCGUUUCUUCAAUUUUUUGGUCUUAAAAUUUAUUUAUGUAUGAUCUAAUCACUGCAGUCUAUACUAUUGUUGAUACUAGAGUCUCUUGUAGGCAAUGUGUUGUAAAAGAAUGAGAAAUUUUGGAAAUGAAAUCAGUAUUAUAUGUCUUUCUAUAAAAA